UGUACACUUAUGCCUAUUAUGACCAGUGGCGUGCAUAACGUUUUUAGACAGUGUAGGCAGUCAAAAAAAUAUGAACAGCCACACUGCACCUACUUUCUCGCAAUUUUUUCCUAAUUUAUUUCAA
Long non-coding RNA from Melitaea cinxia (Glanville fritillary), 124 nucleotides. RefSeq lists it as uncharacterized. The transcript is spliced from 4 exons. NCBI's taxonomy places the organism in Eukaryota, Metazoa, Arthropoda, Insecta, Lepidoptera, Nymphalidae. The record is from RefSeq and is a predicted model, not a curated record.